Choloepus hoffmanni (Hoffmann's two-fingered sloth) is the source of this 107-nucleotide small nuclear RNA. The record is from Ensembl. NCBI's taxonomy places the organism in Eukaryota, Metazoa, Chordata, Mammalia, Pilosa, Megalonychidae.
GUGCUCACUUAAGCAGCAUAUAUACUAAAAUGGGAACAAUAUAGAGCAGAUUGGCAUGGCCCCUACACAAGAAUGAUGUGCAAAUUCAUGAAACCUUUACUGAUAGA